GAUGAACGCUAGCUACAGGCUUAACACAUGCAAGUCGAGGGGCAGCACUAGGUAGCAAUACUGAGGUGGCGACCGGCGCACGGGUGAGUAACACGUAUCCAACCUGGCCCAUACUCGGGUAUAGCCUCUCGAAAGGGAGAUUAAUCCCCGAUGUUGUUGUUAUGUCGCAUGAUGUUUCAACCAAAGAAUUUCGGUAUGGGAUGGGGAUGCGUUCCAUUAGCUUGUUGGCGGGGUAACGGCCCACCAAGGCGACGAUGGAUAGGGGUUCUGAGAGGAAGGUCCCCCACACUGGAACUGAGACACGGUCCAGACUCCUACGGGAGGCAGCAGUGAGGAAUAUUGGUCAAUGGUCUGACGACUGAACCAGCCAUGCCGCGUGAAGGUGACGGCCCUAUGGGUCUUAAACUUCUUUUGUAAGGGAGCAAUAAGUCUCACGUGUGGGAUGAUGAGAGUACCUUACGAAUAAGCAUCGGCUAACUCCGUGCCAGCAGCCGACGG
This 498-nucleotide ribosomal RNA is filed under the name uncultured bacterium. Its description in RNAcentral is "bacterial SSU rRNA". It matches the Rfam family "Bacterial small subunit ribosomal RNA", at positions 28 to 520 of the family's 1533-position model. The record is from RNAcentral.